RNAcentral lists this ribosomal RNA (301 nucleotides) under uncultured bacterium. Its description in RNAcentral is "partial 16S ribosomal RNA". It matches the Rfam family "Bacterial small subunit ribosomal RNA", at positions 509 to 807 of the family's 1533-position model. The record is from RNAcentral.
CAGCCGCCGCGGUAAAACGUAGGGUGCAAGCGUUAAUCGGAAUUACUGGGCGUAAAGCGUGCGCAGGCGGUUAUAUAAGUCAGAUGUGAAAUCCCCGGGCUCAACCUUGGAACUGCAUUUGAGACUGUAUGGCUAGAGCGUGUCAGAGGGGGGUAGAAUUCCACGUGUAGCAGUGAAAUGCGUAGAUAUGUGGAGGAAUACCGAUGGCGAAGGCAGCCCCCUGGGAUAACACUGACGCUCAUGCACGAAAGCGUGGGGAGCAAACAGGAUUAGAUACCCCAGUAGUCCCUGUCUCUUAUAC